RNAcentral lists this ribosomal RNA (645 nucleotides) under Triticum aestivum (bread wheat). RNAcentral describes it as "partial small subunit ribosomal RNA". The record is from RNAcentral. Lineage: Eukaryota; Viridiplantae; Streptophyta; Magnoliopsida; Poales; Poaceae.
AUGCUCAUUCUAGUGGAGGAGCCCGACGAGGCGAUGGAGUUCGAGAUCGCCGACGUACUCGUCUUGCCUGUGGAUGCGCUGGUGCCUCUCGAGAAGGCGAUGUUGGAAUACAAGGUCACCAUUCACAUAGUGAACACUGAAAAUACGCGGCAGAGCUCCGGCCCUUCCUUCGGCGACGAUGGCGACGACGAUGAUGAAUUCGACCAUCCUGCUGCGGAUCCAGACGGCCCGGGUGGCGCUCACCAUACCAGGUGUCGCUUCGCGUACACAAGAGGGGUGCCGGAUGGCACAAGCAGGCGGCGACAGCCGCCGACGAGACAAGGUGAUGCUUCAGGCCACCGACGGGUCGCAGUGGAUCUGCCAAUGGUGGUGGCACCUUGGACGCCGCGAACCAGCGAGGUGCAGGAUGCGGCUACCGUCGAGAGUGAGAUGGAGAUGGCCGGCGCGGUGGUGACGGUCCCGACGGCCGCCGGCGACGAGGUGGGAACGGGCACUCCUCCUCCGCACAGGAGGGGCCCAGAUCACGUGCCGGUCCAGAGGACGACUGAGAUGGAAAGGGAGGAGCCCGACACUUUGGUUAGCACCACGCUUUUGACCGAGGUGGGUGGAGAUGGACGGAUCCCGACGAUUCUAGACCCCCACUAG